GAUGAAGAACGCAGCGAAAUGCGAUACUUGGUGUGAAUUGCAGAAUCCCGUGAACCAUCGAGUCUUUGAACGCAAGUUGCGCCCGAAGCCACUAGGCCGAGGGCACGCCUGCCUGGGCGUCACACGCCGUUGCCCCCCCAUCUACUCCUUCGGGAUUGCGGGGGGGCGGAUGAUGGCCUCCCGUGCGCCUAGCCGCGCGGUUGGCAUAAAUACCAAGUCCUCGGCGACGCACGCCACGACAAUCGGUGGUUGCGAAACCUCGGUUGCCCGUCGUGUGCGUUCGUCGCGCAUCGAGGGCUCGAAAAAAUGCUCGGCUCCGGCUGGGCUUUCAACGCGACCCCAGGUCAGGCGGGGUUACUCGCUGAAUUUAAGCAUAUCAAUAAGCGGAGGA
This 391-nucleotide unclassified non-coding RNA is filed under the name soil metagenome. RNAcentral's name for it is "partial contains 5.8S ribosomal RNA, internal transcribed spacer 2, and large subunit ribosomal RNA". The stretch from base 1 to 122 matches the Rfam family "5.8S ribosomal RNA", at positions 35 to 154 of the family's 154-position model. The record is from RNAcentral.